Molecule: ribosomal RNA, 504 nt
Filed under: uncultured bacterium
Lineage: Bacteria
Description: SSU rRNA
Rfam family: Bacterial small subunit ribosomal RNA
Source: RNAcentral
AGGACGAACGCUGGCGGCGCGCUUAACACAUGCAAGUCGAGCGAGAACCAGGGCUUCGGCUCUGGGGACAGCGGCGAACGGGUGAGUAACACGUGGGUAAUCAACCCUCGACAUCGGGAUAGCCCGGGGAAACCCGGAUUAAUACCGAAUGCUCCGUCUGGCCUUCGGGCCGGCCGGAAAAGGUAGCUUCGGCCUCCGGUCGGGGACGAGCCCGCGGCGGAUUAGCUUGUUGGUGGGGUAAAGGCCCACCAAGGCGACGAUCCGUAGCUGGUCUGAGAGGACGAUCAGCCACACUGGGACUGAGACACGGCCCAGACUCCUACGGGAGGCAGCAGUGGGGAAUCUUGCGCAAUGGGCGAAAGCCUGACGCAGCGACGCCGCGUGAGGGAAGAAGGCCUUCGGGUUGUAAACCUCUUUCAGGAGGGACGAAGCCACUCGGGUUAAUAGCCCAGAGGGUGACGGUACCUCCAGAAGAAGCCCCGGCUAACUACGUGCCAGCAGCGC